GACGAACGCUGGCGGCGUGCUUAACACAUGCAAGUCGAACGCUGAUGGCCCAGCUUGCUGGGUUGGAUGAGUGGCGAACGGGUGAGUAACACGUGAGUAACCUGCCCUCUUCUUUGGGAUAACGGUCGGAAACGGCUGCUAAUACCGGGUAUUCACUGUCCUUCGCAUGGGGGGUGGUGGAAAGGUUUUUUCUGGUGGGGGAUGGGCUCGCGGCCUAUCAGCUUGUUGGUGGGGUGAUGGCUUACCAAGGCUUUGACGGGUAACCGGCCUGAGAGGGUGACCGGUCACAUUGGGACUGAGAUACGGCCCAGACUCCUACGGGAGGCAGCAGUGGGGAAUAUUGCACAAUGGGCGAAAGCCUGAUGCAGCGACGCCGCGUGAGGGAUGGAGGCCUUCGGGUUGUAAACCUCUUUCGCUCAUGGUCAAGCCGCAGCUUUGGGUUGUGGUGAGGGUAGUGGGUAAAGAAGCACCGGCUAACUACGUGCCAGCAGCCGCGGUAAUACGUAGGGUGCGAGCGUUGUCCGGAAUUAUUGGGCGUAAAGGGCUUGUAGGCGGUUUGUCGCGUCUGCCGUGAAAUCCUCUGGCUUAACUGGGGGCGUGCGGUGGGUACGGGCAGGCUUGAGUGCGGUAGGGGAGACUGGAACUCCUGGUGUAGCGGUGGAAUGCGCAGAUAUCAGGAAGAACACCGGUGGCGAAGGCGGGUCUCUGGGCCGUUACUGACGCUGAGGAGCGAAAGCGUGGGGAGCGAACAGG
RNAcentral lists this ribosomal RNA (753 nucleotides) under uncultured Actinomyces sp. RNAcentral describes it as "bacterial SSU rRNA". It matches the Rfam family "Bacterial small subunit ribosomal RNA", at positions 28 to 776 of the family's 1533-position model. Lineage: Bacteria; Bacillati; Actinomycetota; Actinomycetes; Actinomycetales; Actinomycetaceae. The record is from RNAcentral.